Molecule: ribosomal RNA, 16 nt
Filed under: Parmelina carporrhizans
Lineage: Eukaryota; Fungi; Ascomycota; Lecanoromycetes; Lecanorales; Parmeliaceae
Also listed under: 1 other name
Description: partial 18S ribosomal RNA
Source: RNAcentral
ACUGCGGAGGAUCAUU